This 253-nucleotide unclassified non-coding RNA is filed under the name uncultured Chitinophagaceae bacterium. RNAcentral's name for it is "contains 16S-23S intergenic spacer region". It matches the Rfam family "Bacterial small subunit ribosomal RNA", at positions 524 to 776 of the family's 1533-position model. Lineage: Bacteria; Pseudomonadati; Bacteroidota; Chitinophagia; Chitinophagales; Chitinophagaceae. The record is from RNAcentral.
UACGGAGGGUGCGAGCGUUAUCCGGAUUCACUGGGUUUAAAGGGUGCGUAGGUGGGUUUGUAAGUCAGUGGUGAAAUCUCCGUGCUUAACAUGGAAACUGCCAUUGAUACUACAGGUCUUGAAUUUUCCGGAGGUUAGCGGAAUAUGUCAUGUAGCGGUGAAAUGCUUAGAUAUGACAUAGAACACCAAUUGCGAAGGCAGCUAACUACAGGGAUAUUGACACUGAGGCACGAAAGCGUGGGGAUCAAACAGG